RNAcentral lists this ribosomal RNA (495 nucleotides) under uncultured bacterium. RNAcentral's name for it is "partial 16S ribosomal RNA". It matches the Rfam family "Bacterial small subunit ribosomal RNA", at positions 28 to 523 of the family's 1533-position model. The record is from RNAcentral.
GAUGAACGCUGGCGGCGUGCUUAACACAUGCAAGUCGAACGAAGCGCUUAAGAUUGAUUCUUCGGAUGAUUUCUUUUGUGACUUAGUGGCGGACGGGUGAGUAACGCGUGGGUAACCUGCCUCACACAGGGGGAUAACAGUUAGAAAUGACUGCUAAUAUCGCAUAACCCGAUAGGAUCGCAUGAUCCAGACGGAAAAGAUUUAUCGGUGUGAGAUGGACCCGCGUCUGAUUAGCUAGUUGGUGAGGUAACGGCCCACCAAGGCGACGAUCAGUAGCCGGCCUGAGAGGGUGAACGGCCACAUUGGGACUGAGACACGGCCCAAACUCCUACGGGAGGCAGCAGUGGGGAAUAUUGCACAAUGGGGGAAACCCUGAUGCAGCGACGCCGCGUGAGUGAAGAAGUAUUUCGGUAUGUAAAGCUCUAUCAGCAGGGAAGAAAAUGACGGUACCUGACUAAGAAGCCCCGGCUAACUACGUGCCAGCCGCCGCCGUAA